This 714-nucleotide ribosomal RNA is filed under the name bacterium 46-L049642-122-014-F06. Its description in RNAcentral is "bacterial SSU rRNA". It matches the Rfam family "Bacterial small subunit ribosomal RNA", at positions 57 to 771 of the family's 1533-position model. The record is from RNAcentral.
GCAAGCCGAGCGGUAGAAGUCCUUCGGGACUUUGAGAGCGGCGUACGGGUGCGUAACACGUGUGCAACCUACCUUUAUCAGGGGAAUAGCCUUUCGAAAGGAAGAUUAAUACCCCAUAAUAUAUUGAAUGGCAUCAUUUGAUAUUGAAAACUCCGGUGGAUAGAGAUGGGCACGCGCAAGAUUAGAUAGUUGGUGAGGUAACGGCUCACCAAGUCAAUGAUCUUUAGGGGUCCUGAGAGGGAGAUCCCCCACACUGGUACUGAGACACGGACCAGACUCCUACGGGAGGCAGCAGUGAGGAAUAUUGGACAAUGGGUGAGAGCCUGAUCCAGCCAUCCCGCGUGAAGGAUGACGGUCCUAUGGAUUGUAAACUUCUUUUGUAUAGGAAUAAACCUACUCUCGUGAGAGUAGCUGAAGGUACUAUACGAAUAAGCACCGGCUAACUCCGUGCCAGCAGCCGCGGUAAUACGGAGGGUGCAAGCGUUAUCCGGAUUUAUUGGGUUUAAAGGGUCCGUAGGCGGACCGAUAAGUCAGUGGUGAAAUCUCAUAGCUUAACUAUGAAACUGCCGUUGAUACUGUCGGUCUUGAGUAAAUUUGAAGUGGCUGGAAUAAGUAGUGUAGCGGUGAAAUGCAUAGAUAUUACUUAGAACACCAAUUGCGAAGGCAGGUCACUAAGAUUUAACUGACGCUGAGGGACGAAAGCGUGGGGAGCGA